UGCAAGUCGAGCGGUAACAGGGGUAGCUUGCUACCCGCUGACGAGCGGCGGACGGGUGAGUAAUGCAUAGGAAUCUGCCCGGUAGUGGGGGAUAACCUGGGGAAACCCAGGCUAAUACCGCAUACGUCCUACGGGAGAAAGGGGGCUUCGGCUCCCGCUAUUGGAUGAGCCUAUGUCGGAUUAGCUAGUUGGUGAGGUAAUGGCUCACCAAGGCGACGAUCCGUAGCUGGUCUGAGAGGAUGAUCAGCCACAUCGGGACUGAGACACGGCCCGAACUCCUACGGGAGGCAGCAGUGGGGAAUAUUGGACAAUGGGGGCAACCCUGAUCCAGCCAUGCCGCGUGUGUGAAGAAGGCCCUCGGGUUGUAAAGCACUUUCAGCGAGGAAGAACGCCUAGUGGUUAAUACCCAUUAGGAAAGACAUCACUCGCAGAAGAAGCACCGGCUAACUCCGUGCCAGCAGCCGCGGUAAUACGGAGGGUGCAAGCGUUAAUCGGAAUUACUGGGCGUAAAGCGCGCGUAGGUGGCUUGAUAAGCCGGUUGUGAAAGCCCCGGGCUCAACCUGGGAACGGCAUCCGGAACUGUCAGGCUAGAGUACAGGAGAGGAAGGUAGAAUUCCCGGUGUAGCGGUGAAAUGCGUAGAGAUCGGGAGGAAUACCAGUGGCGAAGGCGGCCUUCUGGACUGAUACUGACACUGAGGUGCGAAAGCGUGGGUAGCAAACAGGAUUAGAUACCCUGGUAGUCCACGCCGUAAACGAUGUCGACCAGCCGUUGGGUGCCUAGAGCACUUUGUGGCGAAGUUAACGCGAUAAGUCGACCGCCUGGGGAGUACGGCCGCAAGGUUAAAACUCAAAUGAAUUGACGGGGGCCCGCACAAGCGGUGGAGCAUGUGGUUUAAUUCGAUGCAACGCGAAGAACCUUACCUACCCUUGACAUCUACAGAAGCCGGAAGAGAUUCUGGUGUGCCUUCGGGAACUGUAAGACAGGUGCUGCAUGGCUGUCGUCAGCUCGUGUUGUGAAAUGUUGGGUUAAGUCCCGUAACGAGCGCAACCCUUGUCCUUAUUUGCCAGCGAGUAAUGUCGGGAACUCUAAGGAGACUGCCGGUGACAAACCGGAGGAAGGUGGGGACGACGUCAAGUCAUCAUGGCCCUUACGGGUAGGGCUAC
This 1164-nucleotide ribosomal RNA is filed under the name Halomonas sp. BPA-5. Its description in RNAcentral is "bacterial SSU rRNA". It matches the Rfam family "Bacterial small subunit ribosomal RNA", at positions 56 to 1217 of the family's 1533-position model. The record is from RNAcentral. Lineage: Bacteria; Pseudomonadati; Pseudomonadota; Gammaproteobacteria; Oceanospirillales; Halomonadaceae.